This 120-nucleotide ribosomal RNA is filed under the name Salmonella enterica subsp. enterica serovar Typhimurium str. DT2. The record is from RNAcentral. Lineage: Bacteria; Pseudomonadati; Pseudomonadota; Gammaproteobacteria; Enterobacterales; Enterobacteriaceae.
AAAUAAAACAAAAGGCUCAGUCGAAAGACUGGGCCUUUUGUUUUAUCUGUUGUUUGUCGGUGAGUAGUCUCCUGAGGAGGACAAAUCCGCCGGGAGCGGAUUUGAACGUUGCGCAGCAAC